AAGACACUAGUAAAACUGAUCAUUACGCUGCCUUGUCGAGGCAGAAUUGUGGGUUUGAGUCCCGCGCGUCUUG
This 73-nucleotide transfer RNA is filed under the name Mullus surmuletus (striped red mullet). RNAcentral's name for it is "tRNA-Asp". It matches the Rfam family "tRNA". Rfam says of the family: Transfer RNA (tRNA) molecules are approximately 80 nucleotides in length. Their secondary structure includes four short double-helical elements and three loops (D, anti-codon, and T loops). Lineage: Eukaryota; Metazoa; Chordata; Actinopteri; Syngnathiformes; Mullidae. The record is from RNAcentral. RNAcentral also lists the same sequence under 1 other name.